This 127-nucleotide small RNA is filed under the name Marmota monax (woodchuck). The record is from RNAcentral. Lineage: Eukaryota; Metazoa; Chordata; Mammalia; Rodentia; Sciuridae.
GCCAGGCAUGGUGGCGCACACCUGUAAUCUCAGCAGCUCAGGAGGCAGAGGCAGGAGGAUUGCAAGUUCAAACCCAACCUCUGCAACUUGGCAAGGCACUCAGCAACAUGGUGAGACCCUGCCUGUC